CGGGGUAGGCCGGAUCCUGGCUGUGUCCCGGCGCCCAGUGCUCCGGGUCUGCGCUAUUGGAUUCGCGCUCCCGGCCGGCAGCCCCCU
RNAcentral lists this microRNA precursor (87 nucleotides) under Canis lupus familiaris (dog). RNAcentral's name for it is "mir-8799 microRNA precursor family". It matches the Rfam family "mir-8799 microRNA precursor family". RNAcentral also lists the same sequence under 1 other name. The record is from Rfam by way of RNAcentral. Lineage: Eukaryota; Metazoa; Chordata; Mammalia; Carnivora; Canidae.